AGCGAACGCUGGCGGCAGGCCUAACACAUGCAAGUCGAACGAACUCUUCGGAGUUAGUGGCGGACGGGUGAGUAACACGUGGGAACGUGCCUUUUGGUUCGGAAUAACUCAGGGAAACUUGUGCUAAUACCGAAUGUGCCCUUCGGGGGAAAGAUUUAUCGCCAUUAGAGCGGCCCGCGUCUGAUUAGCUAGUUGGUGGGGUAACGGCUCACCAAGGCGACGAUCAGUAGCUGGUCGGAGAGGAUGACCAGCCACACUGGGACUGAGACACGGCCCAGACUCCUACGGGAGGCAGCAGUGGGGAAUCUUGCGCAAUGGGCGAAAGCCUGACGCAGCCAUGCCGCGUGAAUGAUGAAGGUCUUAGGAUUGUAAAAUUCUUUCACCGGGGACGAUAAUGACGGUACCCGGAGAAGAAGCCCCGGCUAACUUCGUG
Molecule: ribosomal RNA, 433 nt
Filed under: uncultured bacterium
Lineage: Bacteria
Description: partial 16S ribosomal RNA
Rfam family: Bacterial small subunit ribosomal RNA
Source: RNAcentral